UACAGGGGGGGCAAGCGUUGUUCGGAAUUACUGGGCGUAAAGGGCUCGUAGGCGGCCAACUAAGUCACACGUGAAAUCCCCAGGCUUAACCUGGGAACUGCGUGUGAUACUGGAUGGCUUGAAUCCGGGAGAGGGAUGCGGAAUUCCAGGUGUAGCGGUGAAAUGCGUAGAUAUCUGGAGGAACACCGGUGGCGAAGGCGGCAUCCUGGACCGGCAUUGACGCUGAGUGAGCGAAAGCCAGGGGAGCAAACGGG
RNAcentral lists this ribosomal RNA (254 nucleotides) under uncultured bacterium. RNAcentral's name for it is "partial 16S ribosomal RNA". It matches the Rfam family "Bacterial small subunit ribosomal RNA", at positions 524 to 776 of the family's 1533-position model. The record is from RNAcentral.